Brassica napus (rape) is the source of this 850-nucleotide long non-coding RNA. RefSeq lists it as uncharacterized. The record is from RefSeq and is a predicted model, not a curated record. NCBI's taxonomy places the organism in Eukaryota, Viridiplantae, Streptophyta, Magnoliopsida, Brassicales, Brassicaceae. The transcript has 2 exons.
GAGAGUUUAAUAUACAUAAAUACAAAUGUAUAAUGUGUUUAGAAAUUUUAAAACAACACUAAAGAUCAUAGGCUUCAAUGUAUAGAGCAUUUAUAGAAAAACUCAAUAUUUUACACAAAUAUAACUAAUGCAAGUUUAUGUUUAUAUGCUUAGGUCAAUGAAUCAUGCACUUUUAUAUUAUUUUGACUAUAAUCUCAGAAAAUUAUUUGAAAUAUUUUCUUUAGAAAAAUAUAAUUAACACAAGUUUAUGUUUUUUAUGUAGAUUGAUAUGCUUAGGUAAAUGAAUCAUGCACUUUUAUAUUAUUUUGACUAUAAUCUCAGAAAAUUAAUUGAAAGAUUUUCUUACAAAAAUAUAAUUAAUGCAAGUUUAUGUUUUUUAUGUAGAUUGAUAUGCUUAGGUAAAUGAAUCAUGCACUUUUAUAUUAUUUUGACUAUAAUCUCAUAAAAUUAAUUGAAAGAUUUCCUUACAAAAAUAUAAUUAAUGCAAGUUUAUGUUUAUAUGCUUAGGUAAAUGAAUCAUGCACUUUUAUAUUAUUUUGACUAUAAUCUCAGAAAAUUAAUUGAAAGAUUUUCUUUACAAAAAUAUAAUUAAUGCAAGUUUAUGUUUAUAUGUAUAUAUAUAUCAAUCUAAAAUAUAAUAGAACUCUCAAACAAUUUAUAAAACAUCCUACAAAAUGAGUCUCUCCAAAAAAAAUAUAUUAAUCGCAUUUGUUUUCACUCUUUUCUUCGCGAUGUCAAUUGUCCGCUGCACCGAUAUUGUUUCAGAUUUCGGAGUAAAGUAUAAUGUGUGCUAUGGUCCAUGUGACGACAAAGGAGUGUGUACGCCGUUUUGUUCUUCCAAAAAAGGUCU